ACAUAAUAUCCUGUUCUCUGAUCUGCUAUGAAGAUUAUAAAUGUAUUUCAGAAGAAAUUCUGUCAGAGAGAGAAUUUUUCAUAUCACCCAAUGAAGUUUUCACAGUGAAGGCAAUCACUACUAGAAGUGGUACUGAUACCUUUAAAGAGAUCACCUUAACACAUUCUGACUUUCAAAGUUCUUCUAACUGCAGCAGCCUCGACAGGUUGCCCAAAGAAUCUAAAGCGUCGUCUUCAAGUUUCCUGAGUUCCAGUUCCCUGAAUCUUAUGGCUUCUUUGCUCCCGCUGUACUACUACACACUGACUCUCUAAUAUACUUUGUUUCCCUUUUCACAAAACUGCAAAGUUAAAGUUACUUGAAUGUGACGGUAUAUCAGUGUUCUUUACCUAUUUACAUAAUACAAUAAAUUACUUUUAAUGCA
Long non-coding RNA from Puntigrus tetrazona (Sumatra barb), 421 nucleotides. RefSeq lists it as uncharacterized. The record is from RefSeq and is a predicted model, not a curated record. The transcript is spliced from 2 exons. Lineage: Eukaryota; Metazoa; Chordata; Actinopteri; Cypriniformes; Cyprinidae.